GACGAACGUUGGCGGCGUGCCUAAUACAUGCAAGUCAACUGAAAUACCGGUAGCAAUACUGGUAUGGAGGUGGCGCACGGGUGAGUAACACGUAGGUAAUCUGCCUUCAGGUCUGACAUAACCCAUCGAAAGGUGAGCUAAUAUCAGAUGAUGCAGCGGCUUGACAUCAAGACAGUUGUUAAAGCUUCGGCGCCUGAAGAUGAGCCUGCGUCUGAUUAGCUAGUUGGCGGGGUAACGGCCCACCAAGGCUGCGAUCAGUAGCUGGUCUGAGAGGAUGAUCAGUCACACUGGAACUGAGACACGGUCCAGACUCCGUACGGGAGCAGCAGUAAGGAAUAUUGCUCAAUGGCCGAAAGGCUGAAGCAGCAACGCCGCGUGAGGGAU
Molecule: ribosomal RNA, 384 nt
Filed under: uncultured bacterium
Lineage: Bacteria
Description: bacterial SSU rRNA
Rfam family: Bacterial small subunit ribosomal RNA
Source: RNAcentral